GAUGAACGCUGGCGGCGUGCCUAAUACAUGCAAGUCGAGCGAACGGACGAGAAGCUUGCUUCUCUGAUGUUAGCGGCGGACGGGUGAGUAACACGUGGAUAACCUACCUAUAAGACUGGGAUAACUUCGGGAAACCGUAGCUAAUACCGGAUAAUAUUUUGAACCGCAUGGUUCAAAAGUGAAAGACGGUCUUGCUGUCACUUAUAGAUGGAUCCGCGCUGCAUUAGCUAGUUGGUAAGGUAACGGCUUACCAAGGCAACGAUGCAUAGCCGACCUGAGAGGGUGGUCGGCCACACUGGAACUGAGACACGGUCCAGACUCCUACGGGAGGCAGCAGUAGGGAAUCUUCCGCAGUGGGCGAAAGCCUGACGGAGCAACGCCGCGUGAGUGAUGAAGGUCUUCGGAUCGUAAAACUCUGUUAUUAGGGAAGAACAUAUGUGUAAGUAACUGUGCACAUCUUGACGGUACCUAAUCAGAAAGCCACGGCUAACUACGUG
This 497-nucleotide ribosomal RNA is filed under the name uncultured bacterium. Its description in RNAcentral is "partial 16S ribosomal RNA". It matches the Rfam family "Bacterial small subunit ribosomal RNA", at positions 28 to 507 of the family's 1533-position model. The record is from RNAcentral.